RNAcentral lists this microRNA precursor (60 nucleotides) under Ixodes scapularis (black-legged tick). RNAcentral describes it as "Isc-Mir-124_pre stem-loop". It matches the Rfam family "mir-124 microRNA precursor family", at positions 12 to 71 of the family's 72-position model. Rfam says of the family: The mature ~21nt miRNAs are processed from hairpin precursor sequences represented here, in this case originating from the 3' arm. The record is from RNAcentral. Lineage: Eukaryota; Metazoa; Arthropoda; Arachnida; Ixodida; Ixodidae.
CGUAUUCACUGCGCGCCUUGAUGUGCCCAAACGUAUCAUAAGGCACGCGGUGAAUGCCAA